CAGAGAAUAGUUUAAUUAAAAUAUUAAUUUUGGGGAUUAGUGAUGGAAUAUAAUAUUCUUUCUCUGA
Molecule: transfer RNA, 67 nt
Filed under: Teleogryllus infernalis
Lineage: Eukaryota; Metazoa; Arthropoda; Insecta; Orthoptera; Gryllidae
Description: tRNA-Pro
Source: RNAcentral